RNAcentral lists this ribosomal RNA (513 nucleotides) under uncultured Desulfobulbus sp. RNAcentral describes it as "bacterial SSU rRNA". It matches the Rfam family "Bacterial small subunit ribosomal RNA", at positions 903 to 1382 of the family's 1533-position model. The record is from RNAcentral. Lineage: Bacteria; Pseudomonadati; Thermodesulfobacteriota; Desulfobulbia; Desulfobulbales; Desulfobulbaceae.
CGCCUUGCCAGCCCGCUCAGAAACGUUAAAGGAAUUGACGGGGGCCCGCACAAGCGGUGGAGUAUGUGGUUAAUUCGAUGCAACGCGAAGAACCUUACCUGGUCUUGACAUCCCGGAGACCCUUAGGAAACUAGGGGGUGCUUCCAUCUGGAAGAAUCUGGAGACAGGUGCUGCAUGGCUGUCGUCAGCUCGUGUCGUGAGAUGUUGGGUUAAGUCCCGUAACGAGCGCAACCCUUGUCCUUAGUUACCAGCACGUUAUGGUGGGCACUCUAAGGAGACGUGCCGGUGACAAACCGGAGGAAGGUGGGGAUGACGUCAAGUCCUCAUGGCCUUUAUGACCAGGGCUACACACGUACUACAAUGGCCGAUACAAAGGGCAGCGACACUGCGAGGUGAAGCCAAUCCCGUAAAAUCGGUCUCAGUCCGGAUUGGAGUCUGCAACUCGACUCCAUGAAGUUGGAAUCGCUAGUAAUCGUGGAUCAGCAUGCCACGGUGAAUACGUUCCCGGGCCUU